This 341-nucleotide unclassified non-coding RNA is filed under the name soil metagenome. Its description in RNAcentral is "partial contains 5.8S ribosomal RNA, internal transcribed spacer 2, and large subunit ribosomal RNA". The stretch from base 1 to 120 matches the Rfam family "5.8S ribosomal RNA", at positions 35 to 154 of the family's 154-position model. The record is from RNAcentral.
GAUGAAGAACGCAGCGAAAUGCGAUAUGUAGUGUGAAUUGCAGAAUUCAGUGAAUCAUCGAAUCUUUGAACGCACAUUGCGCCCUUUGGUAUUCCAAAGGGCAUGCCUGUUCGAGCGUCAUUUGUACCCUCAAGCUUUGCUUGGUGUUGGGCGUCUUGUCUCUAGCUUUGCUGGAGACUCGCCUUAAAGUAAUUGGCAGCCGGCCUACUGGUUUCGGAGCGCAGCACAAGUCGCACUCUCUAUCAGCAAAGGUCUAGCAUCCAUUAAGCCUUUUUUUCAACUUUUGACCUCGGAUCAGGUAGGGAUACCCGCUGAACUUAAGCAUAUCAAUAAGCGGAGGA